GAAAACAGGGAGGAGACAGAGAUGACAGGAGAGGGAGAGUUCCCUCUCUUUUGCUAGCGGGAGGAAUCGAAACUUGUGUUUCCUGUGGCCAGAUGAUCCGCGCCCACUCAUUAAAUUCAAGUCCAUUGAUGCCAGGGCUGGGCUGUGUCGGGCGCAAGGCUGAACAAGGCCACAGACUCGGGGUUUUAACUGGCUGUUUCAGUCUGGGGAACGCUGUUAGGCACUGCUCUAGUGGGAUUCUGGAAGAUGCCCCGCCGCUGCUGGCCGGCAUUGGUGUGUGUCCUCGGUUUGAGCCUCUUCUGCGACAGCGAAGAGGAGAGGAGAGGAGAGAGGAGAGGAGAGAGGAGAGGAGAGAGGAGAGGAGAGAGGA
Molecule: small RNA, 370 nt
Filed under: Histoplasma capsulatum
Lineage: Eukaryota; Fungi; Ascomycota; Eurotiomycetes; Onygenales; Ajellomycetaceae
Also listed under: 1 other name
Description: hypothetical RNA
Source: RNAcentral